Molecule: long non-coding RNA, 622 nt
Organism: Triticum aestivum (bread wheat)
Lineage: Eukaryota; Viridiplantae; Streptophyta; Magnoliopsida; Poales; Poaceae
Exons: 3
Source: RefSeq, a predicted model, not a curated record
GAGGUUGAAUGUGGAGAGAAUGAAAUGUGUACAAAAUUUGUGUGUGGACGUUCUGGUUCGUGUUGAGACAGUUUGAACAUGAGGUCUUGUUGGUAUGAGUGCCCUCGCGCUGGUGUUUUCGUUGGUGGUGAGAUAGUUUGAAAGCUUUGAGUGGGUGUUUUCUGAUUUAUAAUAUGAUGGGUGGCACGGUACCCAGGACUAAAGCACCAGGUAAUGCAUAGGUUGAUUGGUAAUGUUUUGUAUUGAUUUCUUAAUAGGUGGUGAUUUGUAGGAAGCGGUUGUUCUGGUCACGAGCACAGGUGAGCGUGGUAUUUGGGCGGCUCGAUAUGUCAUGGGGGAAACAUGUUGGAAGGUGACAAGAAUAAAAGCAAUGAGCCACUUCUCACCUGAUGUGUUUAGUCUUUCGUUUUGGUAUUUUGGAACUUCUCGGAAUCAGGCUCUCCUCAGCUCAUGAUUUCAGGCUUUCAUUUUGUGAUUUUAUGACUCAUCGGUGUUCUUAAUUACUACCUCAUAAGUUCAAUUGGCUAAUACGGUUGGCAUGAACAUAGAUUGUUGCUAAAUUUCAGAGAUGCACUGUCAGUUCAGCUUUUUGUGAUUGCGGAACUGGUCGAAAUAGUUUUAU